Molecule: ribosomal RNA, 239 nt
Filed under: uncultured bacterium
Lineage: Bacteria
Description: partial 16S ribosomal RNA
Rfam family: Bacterial small subunit ribosomal RNA
Source: RNAcentral
CGUGAGUAACCUGCCUUGGAGUGGGGAAUAACACAUCGAAAGAUGUGCUAAUACCGCAUAAUGCAGUUGGGCCGCAUGGCUCUGACUGCCAAAGAUUUAUCGCUCUGAGAUGGACUCGCGUCUGAUUAGCUGGUUGGCGGGGUAACGGCCCACCAAGGCGACGAUCAGUAGCCGGACUGAGAGGUUGACCGGCCACAUUGGGACUGAGACACGGCCCAGACUCCUACGGAAGGCAGCAG